ACGUCAGCCACACAAAGUCAGGUAACUCACCGCAGAGAAUUCUAUAUACGUGGAAGCAGAUUAAAGCCGGAAAGGCUCAUCAAUGCAAGAAAAUCUACUCAUCUGACAGAAUCCGGAUCUGGGGUGCAAAUUGAUGCCCAAUUUGCUCUGCACUACUGGAAGCAGAUUGGCAGGAAAGGGCUACUAGCAAGGGAGGGGAACAGCAUCCAAACACACAAGACUCCCCUCUUUCUCUCUCUCAGGCCCACUGAGUGCAGCACGUGGUUGCCGAGACCUGAUGAACUGCCGCUGCCAGCUGAAUUCUGAAAUCCAGAAGCAGAGAUAAACUCCAUGAUCAACCACUACUUGCAAAGAAAAAUAAAUAAAAUAAAUAUACAAUACAUAUAAUAUAACUCAUCUCCAAUCUACAGUGGUAUUCUCUCACUUAGCUGUUGCUAGCUGUCUCCUUUCCGCCCCCAUCAUGUGACCUCCAUCCUUGUUCCUACCCUUUUUCCCUUUAAGAACUCACUCAUCAGACUUCUAACUAACCGAGUAAUUAAUCAACCACAAUCCAUCCUUAACAUGGGCCAACUACGACCUUCUUGAGCUUAAAACACAUCACAGAGUAGUAGUACAGUCGGGCUACCAAAGCAUCAGUGGAGUUAAUGAGCAA
RNAcentral lists this long non-coding RNA (652 nucleotides) under Brachypodium distachyon (stiff brome). Its description in RNAcentral is "long non-coding RNA (BDIS_LNC002921)". The record is from RNAcentral. Lineage: Eukaryota; Viridiplantae; Streptophyta; Magnoliopsida; Poales; Poaceae.